Molecule: ribosomal RNA, 254 nt
Filed under: uncultured bacterium
Lineage: Bacteria
Description: partial 16S ribosomal RNA
Rfam family: Bacterial small subunit ribosomal RNA
Source: RNAcentral
CACGUAGGGGGCGAGCGUUGUCCGGAUUUAUUGGGCGUAAAGAGCUCGUAGGCGGCUCAGUAAGUCGGGUGUGAAAACUCCAGGCUCAACCUGGAGACGCCACCUGAUACUGCUGUGGCUAGAGUCCGGUAGGGGAGCAUGGAAUUCCUGGUGUAGCGGUGAAAUGCGCAGAUAUCAGGAAGAACACCCGUGGCUAAGGCGGCUCUCUAGUACGGUACUGACGCUGAGACGCGAAAGCGUGGGGAGCGAACAGG